CAGCAGCCGCGGUAAUACGUAGGUCCCGAGCGUUGUCCGGAUUUAUUGGGCGUAAAGCGAGCGCAGGCGGUUGGAUAAGUCUGAAGUUAAAGGCUGCGGCUUAACCAUAGUACGCUUUGGAAACUGUUUAACUUGAGUGCAAGAGGGGAGAGUGGAAUUCCAUGUGUAGCGGUGAAAUGCGUAGAUAUAUGGAGGAACACCGGUGGCGAAAGCGGCUCUCUGGCUUGUAACUGACGCUGAGGCUCGAAAGCGUGGGGAGCAAACAGGAUUAGAUACCCCUGUAGUCCCUGUCUCUUAUACA
Molecule: ribosomal RNA, 301 nt
Filed under: uncultured bacterium
Lineage: Bacteria
Description: partial 16S ribosomal RNA
Rfam family: Bacterial small subunit ribosomal RNA
Source: RNAcentral